CGGGGGGCAGCAGUGGGGAAUCUUGCGCAAUGGGCGAAAGCCUGACGCAGCCAUGCCGCGUGAAUGAUGAAGGUCUUAGGAUUGUAAAAUUCUUUCAGCGGGGACGAUAAUGACGGUACCCGCAGAAGAAGCCCCGGCUAACUUCGUGCCAGCAGCCGCGGUAAUACGAAGGGGGCUAGCGUUGCUCGGAAUUACUGGGCGUAAAGGGAGCGUAGGCGGAUAGUUUAGUCAGAGGUGAAAGCCCAGGGCUCAACCUUGGAAAUGCCUUUGAUACUGGCUAUCUUGAGUAUGGGAGAGGUAAGCGGAAUUCCGAGUGUAGAGGUGAAAUUCGUAGAUAUUCGGAAGAACACCAGUGGCGAAGGCGGCUUACUGGCCCAUUACUGACGCUGAGGCUCGAAAGCGUGGGGAGCAAACAGGAUUAGAUACCCGAGU
This 432-nucleotide ribosomal RNA is filed under the name uncultured Caulobacteraceae bacterium. RNAcentral describes it as "bacterial SSU rRNA". It matches the Rfam family "Bacterial small subunit ribosomal RNA", at positions 342 to 791 of the family's 1533-position model. The record is from RNAcentral. Lineage: Bacteria; Pseudomonadati; Pseudomonadota; Alphaproteobacteria; Caulobacterales; Caulobacteraceae.